GAGAAAAGUGAGGGAUCCUACUGCUUAAAAAUGUAUCUCAGAACAAACAACUGAAACAUGAUUUGAUGUUUUGCCUUCUGCAAGUAGCUCCAGAUUCAUAGAAGCAGAUACUCAUCUGAAGUAAAUCCACAUACUUCAUUAAAUCGAUUAGCAGUGUUUUCCUGAUCUUCAUUAGAUAGAGAUUUGGCUGCUGGAACGCCUGUCGUCAGGGGGCACUGGGGAAGUCUCUGGAGGACACGGUCAUUAGGAGACUUCUUGCCCCCAGCAACCUCCCGCAGAAACAGCCAGGAUCCACUGCUCCAGAAAGAGCUGAUUUUGUUACAAAAGACCUGCUCGGGGAAGCACCAUAUCUGCUCAACCAAGGGAAAUCGGAUGGUUCCUCCUGCCGCUCGCUGCUUGGUGGGGUCCGGCUGGAGCGAACCCACCACAGCCGCCCCACCGACCUCCUCCAUCCUCAGCUCAGGACAUCUUUGCUCUUCGAUGAAGUGGCUCUGGGAGAAGCUUGUGGGACAGCCUUCCUACUUCAUUUUUAAGAAGCUGCAAUUACUAGUUCAGUGUAAAGAAGAACUGGUGUCCAAUCUGCAUCUUACAGCUUCUGAAUGAAGAAGGUAUCUGAAGAGUAGUUCAGUCUAGACAUCGAAUACAUUUAGGUGACAGGAGUGGGCACGUAAAUAUUCUAUAUCCAUUUAACAAGAAGGCUGCUCCCAUAAAAAGACACUCAGACUUCAGAAGCACUUUUGGAAGGAUUAAGUUACACAGUAAGCUUCCACUAAUCAGAUAAUGCCCUUCUUUUUUCUGAAGCAAAGAUUUCUAUGUAAUCUCUAAAGUAAGAUGAUUUAUCCAAAGAAUGAAUGUGAUAGAUUAACUUUGCUGUUGCUUUGAUUAUUUCUGCAAUUUUUAAGACAGAAAACUGUCUUAAAGAUAUUCUUAAAGAUAUUCUUAAAACUGUUGCUUUAAACCAAUUUUACAAAGAAUAAAAUAAAGGGUGGACUGUUUCGCAAAACCUUUUUUUGCAAGAAAAGUGCUGCUCCACUUGGAAAGUAGAAAAGCGUUUCACAAUUUUGCUGAAACUGGUGAAUACUUUCAAGAAGUUCCUGCAAACAGUAUGUGUUCCUCUGCUUAUCUUCUGUUUUACAAAGUUCCCAGGUAGACAGAGUUCACCUAAAAAUUAGCAGCCAUGCUGGAGACUCCUGCUCAAGACAGAGCAGCACUUUAAAGGCCAAGCAGACAUCUAAACGGCUGACAGUGCUUGUGCUAUUCUCACUUCUAUUCCCUAGAUGCAGUUACAUUUUUACAUCAAAGGCCAAAGUUACACUCUGACCUUUUCAUAUACUUCACAGUACUAUCAUUUAAAAGUUGCAAAAACAGAUGUGUGACAAUUACAAAAAAAAGUAGAAUUACAGCUUGUACUACAGAGAAAGUGGGGAAAACAGCAACAGCUACAAAAUAGGCUUCCUUGCCAAACUUUAUGUGCCAGGAUUUGAAUAAAUUACACCAUAAUUGGACAAAAGGGCUGGAUAUUAUUACAUAUUGCUGCUAAUUGGUAUUAUACAUUAAAGAGGUGCAAUAUGCCAUUGCAUAAAACAAUUUAAAAAUUGACAAAUAAUAUACUUUCAUUGGUAAUUUUCAGAAAUGAACAGUAUUUCCAUGAUGUCUAGUCUUUUUUCUUCUUCGAGCCAACUACUAUUUUUUAAUGGAUAUUAAGAACACUCACAGAAUCAGUUGUCAAAUAAUCGUUGAAAUGACAGAGCUAUCAAGGGCGAUUUCAGUACCUGGUGAAGGAGUAUUUUGAUCAAUUUCAAACUUAUUAAAGCCUUGCCUUACCUUAAAGAAACACAAAACAACAAAAGUAAGGCAAUGAACUGAGUUAAAUCAAAUGAAAAAAUACCUUCCUAUUAUAGCAGCCUUUCCCCUCUUUUGGAGGACCACAGUUCACAGCUUGCAACUGAAGGAAAAAUUCAUAACUGCAUCCAACUAAUACAGCCAUAAGCGUAUGUCUGCUCACCAAGGAAAUCUGCUACAGCAGGCUACUAGAGAAACCAAGGCCAGCGCUCUUGAAAUAGGGCAUGAUUACAGGCUGCAACCAUGGCUGCUAAGAGACAGGCAACAGCAAAGUAAACAGAAGAAGAAAAGAAAAGCCGAAGUGGAUAUAACAUUUACUCUUGGGUACCAAAUUCUGUCCAGUGAGAAAAUCCAGAGCACCUCCCAGAUGACAGCAGUUGUCACAGGGUCUUUAAGAGUUCCAGGAAAACUGCUGCUAGCACGGACACUGAAGAAAAUUAAUUCAUUAUCUGACUAGAUCUAAACUAGCUAUUUCAAAU
Long non-coding RNA from Dromaius novaehollandiae (emu), 2321 nucleotides. RefSeq lists it as uncharacterized. The record is from RefSeq and is a predicted model, not a curated record. The transcript has 3 exons. Lineage: Eukaryota; Metazoa; Chordata; Aves; Casuariiformes; Dromaiidae.